CAAAUGACUCUCGGCAAUGGAUAUCUCGGCUCUUGCAUCGAUGAAGAACGUAGUGAAAUGCGAUACUUGGUGUGAAUUGCAGAAUCUCGUGAACCAUUGAGUCUUUGAACGCAAGUUGUGCCCGAGGCCUUGUGGCCGAGGGCACGCCUGCUUGGGCGUCAUGGC
This 165-nucleotide ribosomal RNA is filed under the name Hedychium gardnerianum. RNAcentral describes it as "5.8S ribosomal RNA". It matches the Rfam family "5.8S ribosomal RNA". From Rfam's summary of the family: 5.8S ribosomal RNA (5.8S rRNA) is a component of the large subunit of the eukaryotic ribosome. It is transcribed by RNA polymerase I as part of the 45S precursor that also contains 18S and 28S rRNA. Lineage: Eukaryota; Viridiplantae; Streptophyta; Magnoliopsida; Zingiberales; Zingiberaceae. RNAcentral also lists the same sequence under 45 other names. The record is from RNAcentral.